CGAGGGUGCAAGCGUUGUUCGGAUUUACUGGGCGUAAAGGGCGCGUAGGCGGUCUUAUAAGUCAUAUGUGAAAGCCCACGGCUCAACCGUGGAAGUGCAUGUGAAACUGUGAGACUUGAGUAUGGGAGAGGAAAGUGGAAUUCCCGGUGUAGAGGUGAAAUUCGUAGAUAUCGGGAGGAAUACCGGUGGCGAAGGCGACUUUCUGGACCAAUACUGACGCUGAGGCGCGAAAGCGUGGGUAGCAAACAGGAUUAGAUACCCUGGUAGUCCACAGCUGUAAACGAUGAUAACUAGGUAUAGGGGGUGUUGACCCCUUCUGUGCCGUAGCUAACGCAUUAAGUUAUCCGCCUGGGGAGUACGGUCGCAAGAUUA
RNAcentral lists this ribosomal RNA (372 nucleotides) under uncultured bacterium. RNAcentral's name for it is "bacterial SSU rRNA". It matches the Rfam family "Bacterial small subunit ribosomal RNA", at positions 527 to 896 of the family's 1533-position model. The record is from RNAcentral.